RNAcentral lists this long non-coding RNA (236 nucleotides) under Carica papaya (papaya). Its description in RNAcentral is "long non-coding RNA (CPAP_LNC013145)". The record is from RNAcentral. Lineage: Eukaryota; Viridiplantae; Streptophyta; Magnoliopsida; Brassicales; Caricaceae.
UAUGUUUUUUUAAAAAAGAUAAGCCAUAUAUAUUAAAAAAGAAGAUUAAGAAUACAACUGGGAAAUAGGCUAUGAAAAGACUGGGAUGCAAUCUCAUUAGGCUAUAGCAUCCACAGGCCCAUUAGAAAAUAUUACAAAAUCCAAACUCAACCAUAUAGGUCUUAGUUAUUAAAACUUGUUUUUUUAUGGCCAGUCAAGGGUGAGAAAAGUUGAAGAAAACAGUGUUAUAUUAAUAA